GAUGAAGAACGUAGCGAAAUGCGAUAAGUAAUGCGAAUUGCAGAAUUCCGUGAGUCAUCGAAUCUUUGAACGCACAUUGCGCCCUCUGGUGUUCCGGAGGGCAUGCCUGUCUGAGCGUCAUUGUCAACCCUCAAGCUCAGCUUGCUGUUGGGUCCCCGUCGUUGCUUUAACGGCGGACCCGAAAGGUAAUGGCAGAGUCCGUGAGACCCUAGACGCAGCGAGCUUCUAGCACGCGUCUGGACGUUUUUCGGGCUCGGUCUUAACUAGAUGAUAACUUCCGAUUGACCUCAGAUCAGGUAGGGAUACCCGCUGAACUUAAGCAUAUCAAUAAGCGGAGGA
RNAcentral lists this unclassified non-coding RNA (339 nucleotides) under soil metagenome. RNAcentral's name for it is "partial contains 5.8S ribosomal RNA, internal transcribed spacer 2, and large subunit ribosomal RNA". The stretch from base 1 to 120 matches the Rfam family "5.8S ribosomal RNA", at positions 35 to 154 of the family's 154-position model. The record is from RNAcentral.